RNAcentral lists this small nucleolar RNA (116 nucleotides) under Olea europaea subsp. europaea. Its description in RNAcentral is "Small nucleolar RNA Z278". It matches the Rfam family "Small nucleolar RNA Z278". From Rfam's summary of the family: snoZ278 is a C/D box small nucleolar RNA. Its methylation guide targets have not been reported. The record is from Rfam by way of RNAcentral. Lineage: Eukaryota; Viridiplantae; Streptophyta; Magnoliopsida; Lamiales; Oleaceae.
GUCCAUGAAGAUCUGAUCCAAAUAAUUGAGAUGCAUUUGAUCUCAAGUCCCUGAAAAGGGAGAACCUACUUGGGGUUGGUACAUUAGUACAUGAAAUUACUGGAUAUGUCUGAGAC